GUUGGAGUCCCUUGACUUGUCAAGGAACAACUUUUCUGGCACAAUUCCUUCGAGCCUCGCUGCCCUGACUUCUUUGGCUCACUUGAACCUCUCAUACAACAACUUGUCAGGGGAAAUUCCUCUUGGUAAUCAACUUCUGACCUUCAAUGAUCCAUCUAUCUAUAUUGGCAAUCCUGGUCUUUGUGGGUUUCCUCUGAAUCAAAGUUGCAAAGACAAUGAGACAGCACAAGGUCGAAGUAAUGCAGAUGACAGAGAUGACAACGAGAUGAUAUGGUUCUACAUGAGCAUGGCACCAGGAUUUGUUGUUGGUUUCUGGGCAGUCUGGGGUACAUUGAUACUAAACAAGAAUUGGAACCUUUACUACUUCAGAUUUAUAGACAAUAUACUUGACAAAGUGUAUGUGUUCACCGUACUGAAAGUUUCUAGGAUCAGAAAACGUUGUUGUUUCCAACAAGGAUGAUAAAUUUGAACAUCAAUAUAUGCUGUAUGAGAGUUCAUCUCGUUAAUAUCAUAUCAUCAGCUUGAAUAAAAUUUAAUACUUCUGGACUUGUAUACAAGUAAGUCAUGCACUCUCAAUUUUGAUCAUUUCUGUCAAGUUCGCAGUACCAUAUGAAGUGUUCUAAUUCUGGGGACUGCCAAAAAGCUUGCACCUUUUAAUUAGUUUUUCCAAAAUAGACACCCCUUUUUUAGUUGUUCAGUUUGGCAGAAAUGAAAGGAGGUUAAAACUUUUACGAAGAUAUAGAUAGAAUUUCUGCAGCUGCGACAGAUGGAGCUGUUUAAUAUGAUCUACUCAUGUAAUGAUCCUCUUGUGUUUGAGAUGCUUGUCUUCAUCAAUCAAAUACAUAUUGGAUGCAUCAUAAGCUCAAGUCCACCAAAUGUGCAGCUGCUUGAUCAUCUUGGAUCUCAUGCUCAGAUCUUUUCACUUGAUGAGUCUCCCAUUAAUGGGGGACAUGCUGCUGCAGAUGAUGGAAUUGGGCCGAAGAGGCUUUCACACGCAUGUCAAUGUGACAAGGAUGAUCUGUGCAUGCAGGAAUAAUCCAUUUAUGAUAUACAGAGUGUGGCCCCUCUCUGAGCCGCUCACAUUGAAUUUUGCCAUGGAUUCUGUGUUAUGACUCGGGAUGUAGACGAGCUUCAUUUGAUUACCUGUUGCCAUUAGCACUCAAACGUAAGCAAAGUUCAUAGGAAUGUAAUUCUUGGUUCAAACUGUUUUGUAGACGCAAAACAAAGAAGAGGUGUUACAUCAACAUUUUCUUAUGGAUCUAAUUAUCACCCUCCAUAAAUAAGAGUGAUUAAGAUCAGGAGUGAAUCGAGAUUAAUAAUUUUUCUAGUAUCCAAUAAAUAAAAAAUUAUGUAUUUUUAUUUAAUUAUAGACAUUAUCUUGUACAAAACUCGAGAAUUGAUUUUAAAUAAUUGUUAUUAUUUUUGUAAAUAAAAAGAUCUAUUGCUCAAAAGAUAAUGUGUUAUUUAUAGAAAUGUAAGUUUGACUAGAAAUCCCACCACGAGAGAUUUCUUGAAAUAUAUUAAAAAUUAAUUAUUUUGAUCAUCUUGGCUAAACAAAAAAAUGUUGGUAAAAGGAAAACUUAGGUACUAAGAUAUCAAGUUGGUAUCAUCAGCAAGAAUUGUAUAAAUUAGAGAGUCCAAUUGAUAUAGAUGAGAAGGUAUGACAUGAGAAGAUUAUUAAUAUGGUUUAAUUGUUAAUAAUUCAUAAAUACUAGGUCGUAUUUAAUAUUAUUUCUUAAUUUAUAAAUGUCAUCGGCUCAUGUUAAUCUUUUCUGUAUCGUUCUAAUUUUAUUGGAUGUUUCUAGGUUAUGCUGGGCUUUGACGAAGAUAUCAAGUGAAAAAGUUUAUAAUAUCUUGAUUUAUAGAGUAGACAUAAUUAAGAUUGAUUUAUAAAGAUAUGAUGGACUUACUAUUAUUAAUUUUAACUUAAACACUUUAAUCAAUGGUUUAAGUUUUAAUAGCUCAUUAGUUUGUUAAGAGUAUCGACACAAUGACAGGGAGAUACAUGAUUAAGCUAGUCUCACACAAUGAUAGAGUGAUGCAUGGUUAAUCCCUUUAUGCAAGAUUUACUUUUUUAACAUGAGAUGAUCAUUGUUUUCUUUGUUUUUCAUGAGUAAAGUUAGCAUGUUCUCGAAGAUAAAAGAAAAAAAAAUUGACACGACAAGAGAGGAAUGGUAGCAACAGAUUCUGAACACAAACUAAGAUUCAAAGAUGAUGCAACCUUGCUGUUGCAAAAGUAGAUGAGUAACUUGGCUCUGAUAGCUGGAAUUGAAGGUCUUCCUUCCUCUUGUUCUGCUCAGUUGCAUUAUCAUGUCAAUUUCCAGGAGAGUUUCCCAGCGACUGCUGAUCGCUGUCUUCUUGGUGACCACAAAUCUUGUCUUUCUUUUAUUCGUGUUAAUAAUGGUUGUCUGAUAGCUACAAAUUUCUCCUAUUUAGCAGUUCUUAGGAAAUUCUCAAAACCUUCACAUUCAAGAAGAUGCUGGAGUCUUUAGAUGAAAGCUAUUCCAACUUUGGGACUCGUCAAAAUCAGAAGUCAUAGUUGACUGACUUGAGGAUAGACAACAAUAUGAAAUGAAGAACAAGUGCAUGAUAUUGGCAGACAGCCUAAUUGUUGAAGGUUUCUUGGUCUACUCUUUGAAUCCGUCAGUUGAGUAGUUUCAGACUAACGGAGGAUGAUCCAAACAGGGCAUGAUAAUAAUAUUUUGUGUAUUGCAAGCUGUCCACCGCAGAUUUCUCAUGAUUAAUCUUAAGAUAAGCUGCGUAUUUUUAUUAUCUGUAAUCUAAGAUAAUUGUGUUGGUGUGAGAUGAUCCACUUUGAUCAAGUACACAAUUUCCCUCCCAAUCGAUGGAAUCAUGGUUGUGGUAAUAAUUGUUUUCAGGUGUAUGCAAAAAGGCAAAUCUACCUGUUCUGUGAAAUUUCUUGCCAGUUUCUAUGCACUACCGGUGCCAGAAAUAUGAAAAUCUAAUUAAAUACCUUGACGAAUUAAGCUGCCAUUAUGGUUGUUUUUCUAGUUUCUUGGACUCGUUUUAGACAUUACAAGUGUAUGACACUGGAUUUGCUCAGUAGAACAUCAUGGACGACCUUCUAUCAUUGUCAACCUAGAACAUCGNNNNNNNNNNNNNNNNNNNNNNNNNNNNNNNNNNNNNNNNNNNNNNNNNNNNNNNNNNNNNNNNNNNNNNNNNNNNNNNNNNNNNNNNNNNNNNNNNNNNNNNNNNNNNNNNNNNNNNNNNNNNNNNNNNNNNNNNNNNNNNNNNNNNNNNNNNNNNNNNNNNNNNNNNNNNNNNNNNNNNNNGUGCAGCAAUCAUACUGGGCAUGUCGUCAAGCUGGACCUCCAGAAUCCGCAUCCUUUCUCGGAUUUUGGUGACGAGCCAUACAACAACUGGACCUUAGGAGGUGAGUUGAGGCCUUCUUUACUUGGUCUGAAACACCUGAAGUACCUGGACCUAAGCAUGAACGAUUUUGGAGGCAUUAAUAUUCCAGAAUUCAUGGGGUCAUUCCAUCAACUCCAAUAUCUUAACCUCUCCAGAGCUGGAUUGGGUGGACUCCUGCCUCACCAGCUGGGAAAUCUCUCCAAUCUGCAGUAUCUAGACUUAUCCAAUGACUUGGAUCCCAAUUUUGUGGUUCCGGUCCGUGAAUUUAGCAUUGGUGAUGCACUCUGGAUUUCUCACCUUUCUUCUCUAAAGCAUCUCAACCUGAAGAGUGUUAACUUUCAAAAUGGUACGCACUGGCUGGAAGCUCUGAACAUGCUUCCUUCUAUUCUGGAGAUAUACUUAUCUCUCUGCGAAAUUGGAAGUGUUCCCCACUCUCUUCCGCAUGUGAACUUUACAUCACUGUCUGUUCUUGAUUUGUCCUAUAAUUUCAUUAGCUCUACGAUACCCUCUUGGUUAUUCAACAUAAGUGGCCUUGAGCAUCUUGAUCUUAGUUCGAACAACCUUCAGGGUAAUAUUCCACCGACCUUUGGUAACUUGGCUUCCCUCGAGGAACUUAAUUUAGCUAACAAUCCUCUUCAAGGAGGAAUACCAACUUCCUUCAAAAAUCUGUGCAAGUUGCAGAAUUUAAUAUUGGCAGGCAUCAAUAUCAGCAAAGAUUUGUUAGGCCUUGAUGAAAGUUUUUCUGGUUGCGUCAAGAUGAGCCUAGAGGUUCUAGGCUUAUCCGGCACGAAUAUUAGUGGGCAGUUGCCUGAAUGGUUAUUCCAAUUCAGGAAGCUUAAAUCACUCCAGUUGAAGCAGAAUCUGAUUUCUGGGCCUAUUCCUGUAUCAAUUGGACAACUAGCAUCACUCCAAGAGCUCUUUCUUGGUCAAAAUCAAUUGAACGAAACAAUACCAGAAAGCGUGGGGUGGCUGUCUCAGCUUGUUUCUUUGGACCUUGAGCACAACAAUUUGGAGGGUGUAAUGUCUGAGGCGCAUUUUGGAAACCUCACAGAAUUGAAAGACUUGUAUUUGUCGUCCAACCCCUUGGCUCUAAAGGUCAAGAGCAAUUGGCUUCCUCCCUUCCAGCUUGAAUCCCUUCGGAUGGACUCUUGCAAACAGGGUCCUGAGUUCCCUGCAUGGCUCCAGUCGCAAAAAAAUAUUUCAGAAAUUGUUAUGUCUAAUGCUAGUAUUAUUGAUGCUAUGCCAGACUGGUUUUGGAGCUUAAUUUCCACAGCAGAGUACGUGAGUUUCUCCGGCAAUCAGAUCAGUGGCCACGUACCAAAUUUAUUGCAUUUAAACAACCUCAUCGAGUUGGAUUUAAGUUCAAACUACUUGGAGGGUCCUCUUCCAUAUUUUCCUCCUAGAUUGGAAGCAUUAGAUCUAUCAAACAAUUCAUUUUCAGGAACAAUUUCACUUGCCAUCAUCAUGAAUAUGCUAAACCUCAUGUAUUUAUCAUUUUCAGAAAACAAUUUAAGUGGUGAAAUUCCCUUCUCUAUAUGCAAACUGUCGGUCUUACAGUUUCUUGAUCUUUCAAAAAAUAUGUUAUCAGGAGAGCUCCCCAGUUGCUGGAAUGAUUCUUCCCCAAUUGAAUUUAUAGAUUUUUCAAGCAACAACAUAUCUGGAGUUAUUCCUGAGUCAAUAUGUUCCAUAGCAUCGCUUCAGUCGUUGCACUUGAGCAAUAACAGUCUAUCUGGAGAGCUGCCUUUGCCCUUGAAGGACUGUGGGAAAUUAUACCUUCUUGAUGCCGGAUAUAAUAAUUUGAAAGGUGAAAUUCCAACCUGGAUAGGUGAAAGUUUAACUAGUCUGAGGUUCCUCAAUCUGCGAUCAAAUAUGUUGGUCGGAGAUAUUCCUCCAAAUCUUUCAAGAUUGAGUGCUCUCCAAUUUCUCGACCUUGCGGGUAAUGAGCUAUCGGGUACUAUUCCAAGGAGCUUUGGAAAUUUUACUGCCAUGAAAGUAAUUGAAAAUUUUUCAAGUUCGACGACAGAUCAAAUUAGAUAUAAGGAGCAUAUGUUUAUUACAACUAAAGGAGACACUCAAGACUAUGGGAAGUCACUUUCGCUUAUGAAUAUUUUGGACCUCUCGGAUAAUAACUUAUUCGGAGGAGUACCUAAAGAAGUCACAAGUCUUUUUGGCUUAUUCAGCUUAAAUUUAUCUGGAAACCAUUUCACAGGAGAAAUCACUGAAAGUAUCAGUAAAUUACAACAAUUGGAGUCCCUUGACUUGUCAAGAAACAACUUUUCUGGCACAAUUCCUUCUAGCCUCGCUGCCUUGACUUAUUUGGCUCACUUGAACCUGUCAUACAACAACUUGUCAGGGGAAAUUCCUCUUGGUAAUCAACUUCUGACUUUCAAUGAUCCAUCGAUCUAUAUUGGCAAUCCUGAUCUUUGUGGGUUUCCUCUGAAUCAAAGUUGCAAAGAUAGUGAGACA
Molecule: long non-coding RNA, 5838 nt
Filed under: Musa acuminata (dwarf banana)
Lineage: Eukaryota; Viridiplantae; Streptophyta; Magnoliopsida; Zingiberales; Musaceae
Description: long non-coding RNA (MACU_LNC002180)
Source: RNAcentral